RNAcentral lists this ribosomal RNA (683 nucleotides) under Bradyrhizobium sp. Ad263. RNAcentral describes it as "bacterial SSU rRNA". It matches the Rfam family "Bacterial small subunit ribosomal RNA", at positions 52 to 779 of the family's 1533-position model. Lineage: Bacteria; Pseudomonadati; Pseudomonadota; Alphaproteobacteria; Hyphomicrobiales; Nitrobacteraceae. The record is from RNAcentral.
CACAUGCAAGUCGAGCGGCCGUAGCACUACGUCAGCGGCAGACGGGUGAGUAACGCGUGGGAACAUACCUCUUGGUUCGGAACAACACAGGGAAACUUGUGCUAAUACCGGAUAAGCCCUUACGGGGAAAGAUUUAUCGCCGAGAGAUUGGCCCGCGUCUGAUUAGCUAGUUGGUAGGGUAAUGGCCUACCAAGGCGACGAUCAGUAGCUGGUCUGAGAGGAUGAUCAGCCACAUUGGGACUGAGACACGGCCCAAACUCCUACGGGAGGCAGCAGUGGGGAAUAUUGGACAAUGGGGGCAACCCUGAUCCAGCCAUGCCGCGUGAGUGAUGAAGGCCCUAGGGUUGUAAAGCUCUUUUGUGCGGGAAGAUAAUGACGGUACCGCAAGAAUAAGCCCCGGCUAACUUCGUGCCAGCAGCCGCGGUAAUACGAAGGGGGCUAGCGUUGCUCGGAAUCACUGGGCGUAAAGGGUGCGUAGGCGGGUUUUUAAGUCAGGGGUGAAAUCCUGGAGCUCAACUCCAGAACUGCCUUUGAUACUGAAGAUCUUGAGUCCGGGAGAGGUGAGUGGAACUGCGAGUGUAGAGGUGAAAUUCGUAGAUAUUCGCAAGAACACCAGUGGCGAAGGCGGCUCACUGGCCCGGUACUGACGCUGAGGCACGAAAGCGUGGGGAGCAAACAGGAUU